AAUGGGAUAGCUGGGUCAAAUGGUGAUUCCAUUCCAAGUUUUCUAAGGAACCUCCAUAGUGCUUUCCAGAUUGGUUGUACCAGUUCGCAGUCCUUCCAGCAAU
Molecule: microRNA precursor, 103 nt
Filed under: Marmota monax (woodchuck)
Lineage: Eukaryota; Metazoa; Chordata; Mammalia; Rodentia; Sciuridae
Source: RNAcentral